UAAUAUAAACCCGUAGAUCCGAACUUGUGAUAAAAUCUGACGCAAGCUUGUUUCUAGGGGUCCUAUAUUGG
This is a microRNA precursor of Lottia gigantea (owl limpet), 71 nucleotides long. It matches the Rfam family "mir-10 microRNA precursor family". From Rfam's summary of the family: In this case the mature sequence comes from the 5' arm of the precursor. The extents of the hairpin precursors are not generally known and are estimated based on hairpin prediction. Lineage: Eukaryota; Metazoa; Mollusca; Gastropoda; Lottiidae. The record is from Rfam.